This is a non-coding RNA of Heterocephalus glaber (naked mole-rat), 1152 nucleotides long. The record is from RefSeq and is a predicted model, not a curated record. NCBI's taxonomy places the organism in Eukaryota, Metazoa, Chordata, Mammalia, Rodentia, Bathyergidae.
GACUGCUUCCCUGUACCGUGCAUCUGGGCUGGUCUUUCGACUGGCCUUGACCGUGAACCUAUGCCAGUGUUGCAUAAGUUCUGGAGCUGUGCUUUUGCCUUGGUGCUCUCAGAACACUCUCCCAGGACCACCAAGUAAAGAAGGAGCUGAGCAUCCUGAAGAAUCAGAAGCCACAUAGAAGACAACCAAGGGACCCAGCUGCCAGCCAGUACCACCUACGACCUGUUUGUUGGUGCCCUUGCUGAUGAAUUCUAUAAACGACACUCAUGGACACUGAUGAGAAUCUGAUAGUCCUGUGGAGAGCAAAGAGUUGAUCCUGAACCAGUGCUGGGGAUUGAAUCCAGGGCCUCACACAUGUUAAGCAUGGCUGUACCACUGGGCACACCCCAGCCCUGUCCUGGCUUCCCCACUACAGAGGCAGUGAUGAGGGGGAAGAGCCUGGAUGCUGUGUCACCCAGACAGACUCUCUCCUGCAACUUCUGCUGUCCUCCACUACACACAACUAGAGGCCAGUAACAGCCUCUCAGGGCCAAUGGGAAAGUUAAAGAACCAGAACUGCAUAGCUGGUGCUCAGUAAGUGGUCAAAAUAAGUCUUGAAGAGUCAGUGCCUGGAGCCCAGUGGCUGCACUCAGGCCUGGGGGGGGGGGUGCCCUCCUGCUCUGGUCCCCCCUGGGGGUGGGGUCUGCACAGCUGGGCGUGGGGAUCACCAGCAGCCACAGCAGCAACGAGGAGUUCUCUGUGGUUGGGAUCAUAGCCAAACUGUGAUUUCCACAGCUGGAGCAGAGAUGAUUCCAGCAACUCAGCCGUCUCCAAAUGUUACCUCUUUCCCCAGUCAAUACUGGGAAAAUAUUAGCAAACUAAAGCUUAAAACAUGACCAUUUGCCAUUUCUCAUUUUUCCCUUAAAGCGUGAAAACAAAGGGCCUGUCUGGCCUGGUUACUGUUCUCCGUCUCUGAAGGGCUCCAGGCAGUGCAGGCACAGCCUCCCACCUUGCUAAUGCUCUGCCAUUACUCCUUCCUGUGCUGUCCUCCCUCCGAGGGUUGGAGGCCCACACCAGCGGAGAAGGUGCUGUUGACUCACUCUCACAACUACCAGUCUUUGUGUUAUCAGGGCCACAAUAAAACACUGCCUUUAAAAAUUCAGCAAUUAAAAG